AUGAACGCUGGCGGCGUGCCUAAUACAUGCAAGUCGAGCGAACAGACGAGGAGCUUGCUCCUCUGACGUUAGCGGCGGACGGGUGAGUAACACGUGGAUAACCUACCUAUAAGACUGGGAUAACUUCGGGAAACCGGAGCUAAUACCGGAUAAUAUAUUGAACCGCAUGGUUCAAUAGUGAAAGACGGUUUUGCUGUCACUUAUAGAUGGAUCCGCGCCGCAUUAGCUAGUUGGUAAGGUAACGGCUUACCAAGGCGACGAUGCGUAGCCGACCUGAGAGGGUGGCGGGCCACACGGGAACUGAGCCCCGGCCGAGCCACCGCGGGGGGGAAGCAGGAGGAAAUCUUCCGCAAGGGGGGAAGGCCUGAGGAAGCAACGCGGGGGGAGGGAGGAAGGUCUUCGGAUCGAAAAACUGUGUUAUUGGGGAAGAAAAAAUGUGUAGGUAACUAUGCACGUCUUGACGGUCCCUAACCAAAAGGCCCCGGCUAACUACGUC
RNAcentral lists this ribosomal RNA (496 nucleotides) under uncultured bacterium. RNAcentral describes it as "partial 16S ribosomal RNA". It matches the Rfam family "Bacterial small subunit ribosomal RNA", at positions 29 to 507 of the family's 1533-position model. The record is from RNAcentral.